RNAcentral lists this transfer RNA (85 nucleotides) under Vibrio harveyi. Its description in RNAcentral is "tRNA-Leu". It matches the Rfam family "tRNA". From Rfam's summary of the family: Transfer RNA (tRNA) molecules are approximately 80 nucleotides in length. Their secondary structure includes four short double-helical elements and three loops (D, anti-codon, and T loops). RNAcentral also lists the same sequence under 4 other names. Lineage: Bacteria; Pseudomonadati; Pseudomonadota; Gammaproteobacteria; Vibrionales; Vibrionaceae. The record is from RNAcentral.
GGCGGUAUGGUGAAAUUGGUAGACACAGGGGAUUCAAAAUCCCCCGGCGAAAGCUGUGCCAGUUCGAGUCUGGCUACCGCUACCA